GAUGAACGCUAGCUACAGGCUUAACACAUGCAAGUCGAGGGGAAACGAUAUUGGGAGCUUGCUUCCGAUAGGCGUCGACCGGCGCACGGGUGAGUAACGCGUAUCCAACCUGCCCAUCACUUGGGGAUAACCUUGCGAAAGUAAGACUAAUACCCAAUGACGUCUCUAGAAGACAUCUGAAAGAGAUUAAAGAUUUAUCGGUGAUGGAUGGGGAUGCGUCUGAUUAGCUUGUUGGCGGGGUAACGGCCCACCAAGGCGACGAUCAGUAGGGGUUCUGAGAGGAAGGUCCCCCACAUUGGAACUGAGACAUGGUCCAAACUCCUACGGGAGGCAGCAGUGAGGAAUAUUGUUCAAUGGACGAGAGUCUGAACCAGCCAAGUAGCGUGCAGGAAGACGGCCCUAUGGGUUGUAAACUGCUUUUAUAAGGGAAUAAAGUGAGUCUCGUGAGACUUUUUGCAUGUACCUUAUGAAUAAGGACCGGCUAAUUCCGUGCCAGCAGCCGCGGUAA
Molecule: ribosomal RNA, 508 nt
Filed under: uncultured bacterium
Lineage: Bacteria
Description: partial 16S ribosomal RNA
Rfam family: Bacterial small subunit ribosomal RNA
Source: RNAcentral